UACCAGCCCCCUGAGAGAUAGGGACGAUUAUUUAGCCUAAAGCGUCCGUAGCCGGCUUAGAAAGUCUUUCGUUAAAUCUGACGACUUAAUCGUUAGGCCGCGGAAGAUACUUCUAGACUAGAGGGCGGGAGAGGUUGACGGUAUUCCAGGGGUAGGGCGAAAUCCAAUAAUCCCUGGAGGACCACCAGUGGCGAAGGCGGUCAACUAGAACGCGCCUGACGGUGAGGGACGAAAGCUGGGGGAGCGAACCGGAUUAGACACCCGGGUAGUCCCAGCUGUAAACGAUGCGAGCUAGGUGUUGGGUCAGCUACGAGCUGCCCCGGUGCCGCAGAGAAGUCGUUAAGCUCGCCGCUUGGGAAGUACGAUCGCAAGAUUGAAACUUAAAGGAAUUGGCGGGGGAGCACCACAAGGCGUGAAGCUUGCGGUUC
This 428-nucleotide ribosomal RNA is filed under the name uncultured archaeon. Its description in RNAcentral is "bacterial SSU rRNA". It matches the Rfam family "Archaeal small subunit ribosomal RNA", at positions 474 to 903 of the family's 1478-position model. The record is from RNAcentral.